UAUCUCUGUAGAGUCUGCAUAUCAAUAAGCGGAGGAAAAGAAACUAACUAGGAUUCCCUUAGUAACGGCGAGUGAAGCGGGAAGAGCUCAAAUUUGAAAUCUUCAAGGUUUUACCUUGACGAAUUGUAGUUUAAAGAAGUGUCUUCUGUUGGAAGUUUCGGUAAAAGUUCUUUGGAAUAGGACAUCAUAGAGGGUGAGAAUCCCGUAUUUGACCAUUAUUUUCAGCUGUGUGAUACACUUUCAAAGAGUCGGAUUGUUUGGGAAUGCAGUCCAAAAUGGGUGGUAAAUUUCAUCUAAAGCUAAAUACUGGCGAGAGACCGAUAGCGAACAAGUACCGUGAGGGAAAGAUGAAAAGAACUUUGAAAAGAGAGUUAAACAGUACGUGAAAUUGUCAAAAGGGAAGCGUUUGACACCAGUGUUGUUUUCUCGAAAAUCAAUUAAAAAAGGCAGGAUUUUGUGUUGUAUUGACUUUAUCAGCUUUCUGCACUCUUUUCUUGUCUUUUUUUAAUGCACUUUUCGUUUAACAAGUCAACAUCAAUUUCUUUUGUUGUAAAAGGGUCAUUGGAAGGUGGCUUUCUUUUCGGAGAAAGUGUUUAUAGCCUUUGGCCUCUGCAAUCGGAGAGAUUGGGGUCUGCAGCGUAGAUCCUUCGGGGUUAGAUACAUUUGUGCUAAGUUAUAGCCUUUCAUAGACAACUUGUUGACUAUGAUCAGUCAUGUAGCUUACUCGCUUAUGCUACUUUACCUACGCUUAGGAUGUUGAAGAUGUAGCACAUCAU
Molecule: ribosomal RNA, 776 nt
Filed under: uncultured Neocallimastigales
Lineage: Eukaryota; Fungi; Neocallimastigomycota; Neocallimastigomycetes; Neocallimastigales
Description: partial large subunit ribosomal RNA
Rfam family: Eukaryotic large subunit ribosomal RNA
Source: RNAcentral